AUUGAACGCUGGCGGCAGGCCUAACACAUGCAAGUCGAGCGGAUGAAGGGAGCUUGCUCCUGGAUUCAGCGGCGGACGGGUGAGUAAUGCCUAGGAAUCUGCCUGGUAGUGGGGGAUAACGUCCGGAAACGGGCGCUAAUACCGCAUACGUCCUGAGGGAGAAAGUGGGGGAUCUUCGGACCUCACGCUAUCAGAUGAGCCUAGGUCGGAUUAGCUAGUUGGUGGGGUAAAGGCCUACCAAGGCGACGAUCCGUAACUGGUCUGAGAGGAUGAUCAGUCACACUGGAACUGAGACACGGUCCAGACUCCUACGGGAGGCAGCAGUGGGGAAUAUUGGACAUAGGGCGAAAGCAUGAUCCAGCCAUGCCGCGUGUGUGAAGAAGGUCUUCGGAUUGUAAAGCACUUUAAGUUGGGAGGAAGGGCAGUAAGUUAAUACCUUGCUGUUUUGACGUUACCAACAGAAUAAGCACCGGCUAACUUCGUG
Molecule: ribosomal RNA, 484 nt
Filed under: uncultured bacterium
Lineage: Bacteria
Description: partial 16S ribosomal RNA
Rfam family: Bacterial small subunit ribosomal RNA
Source: RNAcentral